Molecule: ribosomal RNA, 483 nt
Filed under: uncultured bacterium
Lineage: Bacteria
Description: partial 16S ribosomal RNA
Rfam family: Bacterial small subunit ribosomal RNA
Source: RNAcentral
AUUGAACGCUGGCGGAAUGCUUUACACAUGCAAGUCGAACGGCAGCACGGGGGCAGCCCUGGUGGCGAGUGGCGAACGGGUGAGUAAUACAUCGGAACGUGCCCGGUCGUGGGGGAUAACGUAGCGAAAGUUACGCUAAUACCGCAUACGAUCUGAGGAUGAAAGCGGGGGACCUUCGGGCCUCGCGCGAUCGGAGCGGCCGAUGUCAGAUUAGGUAGUUGGUGGGGUAAAGGCCUACCAAGCCGACGAUCUGUAGCUGGUCUGAGAGGACGACCAGCCACACUGGGACUGAGACACGGCCCAGACUCCUACGGGAGGCAGCAGUGGGGAAUUUUGGACAAUGGGCGCAAGCCUGAUCCAGCCAUUCCGCGUGCAGGACGAAGGCCUUCGGGCUGUAAACUGCUUUUGUACGGAACGAAAAGGCUCUGGCUAAUACCUGGGGCUCAUGACGGUACCGUAAGAAUAAGCACCGGCUAACUACGU